AUUGAACGCUGGCGGCAUGCCUUACACAUGCAAGUCGAACGGCAGCGGGGACUUCGGUCCGCCGGCGAGUGGCGAACGGGUGAGUAAAGUAUCGGAACGUACCUUUCAGUGGGGGAUAACGUAGCGAAAGUUACGCUAAUACCGCAUAUUCUGUGAGCAGGAAAGCAGGGGAUCGCAAGACCUUGCGCUGAUUGAGCGGCCGAUAUCAGAUUAGCUAGUUGGUGGGGUAAAGGCCUACCAAGGCGACGAUCUGUAGCGGGUCUGAGAGGAUGAUCCGCCACACUGGAACUGAGACACGGUCCAGACUCCUACGGGAGGCAGCAGUGGGGAAUUUUGGACAAUGGGGGCAACCCUGAUCCAGCCAUGCCGCGUGAGUGAAGAAGGCCUUCGGGUUGUAAAGCUCUUUCGGCCGGGAAGAAAUCGCAUAGGUUAAUACCCUGUGUGGAUGACGGUACCGGAAUAAGAAGCACCGGCUAACUACGUGCCAGCAGCCGCGGUAAUACAGAGGGUGCUAGCGUUAAUCGGAUUUACUGGGCGUAAAGCGUGCGUAGGUGGUUUGAUAAGUCGAUUGUGAAAGCCCCGGGCUUAACCUGGGAAUUGCGGUCGAUACUGUCAGACUCGAAAACGGUAGAGGGAGGUGGAACUCCAGGU
RNAcentral lists this ribosomal RNA (651 nucleotides) under uncultured bacterium. Its description in RNAcentral is "bacterial SSU rRNA". It matches the Rfam family "Bacterial small subunit ribosomal RNA", at positions 28 to 674 of the family's 1533-position model. The record is from RNAcentral.